Molecule: ribosomal RNA, 344 nt
Filed under: Pravonitor annulus
Lineage: Eukaryota; Metazoa; Mollusca; Gastropoda; Stylommatophora; Helicarionidae
Description: partial large subunit ribosomal RNA
Rfam family: Archaeal large subunit ribosomal RNA
Source: RNAcentral
AAAACAUAGUCUUAUGAUAUAAGGUAAUACCUGCCCAAUGAAUAAAUUUAAUGGCCGCAGUACUUUGACUGUGCUAAGGUAGCAUAAUAAAUUGACUUUUAAUUGAGGCCUAGAAUGAAAGGAUAAAUAGUGUCUGUCUUACUAAAUUAAUUAAAAGUUUCUUAAAAGGUGAAAAUUCCUUUAAUAUAUAAAAUAGACGAGAAGACCCUAGGAGUUUGUAAUUUUGUUGGGGCGACAAUAUAGCAUUACCUAUAUAGUUUAAUAUAAAACGAAUAUAUUAAUAAAAAAUAAACUACCCUAGGGAUAACAGCAUAAUUUAUUAAGUUUAUGACCUCGAUGUUGGA